RNAcentral lists this ribosomal RNA (303 nucleotides) under uncultured bacterium. RNAcentral describes it as "partial 16S ribosomal RNA". It matches the Rfam family "Bacterial small subunit ribosomal RNA", at positions 507 to 809 of the family's 1533-position model. The record is from RNAcentral.
AGCAGUAGCCGCGGGAAUACGAAGGGUGCAAGCGUUACUCGGAAUUACUGGGCGUAAAGCGUGCGUAGGUGGUGGUUUAAGUCCGUUGUGAAAGCCCUGGGCUCAACCUGGGAAUUGCAGUGGAUACUGGGUCACUAGAGUGUGGUAGAGGAUAGUGGAAUUUCCGGUGUAGCAGUGAAAUGCGUAGAGAUCGGAAGGAACAUCUGUGGCGAAGGCGACUAUCUGGGCCAACACUGACACUGAGGCACGAAAGCGUGGGGAGCAAACAGGAUUAGAUACCCCUGUAGUCCCUGUCUCUUAUAA